AGGAUGGGAGCAGAGCAGAGGGACUGAAGAAAUGGCUCCUCCGUAUUCACAACCAACAGGAAUCUGGGUUCAUUGUGACAGGGUGUACAAAAUCGGUGCCCGUCCUAUGAACAAACACCCUACACGU
Small nucleolar RNA from Camelus ferus (Wild Bactrian camel), 127 nucleotides. It matches the Rfam family "Small nucleolar RNA SNORA11". From Rfam's summary of the family: U107 (SNORA11) is a member of the H/ACA class of snoRNAs that guide the sites of modification of uridines to pseudouridines. This snoRNA was identified by RT-PCR from blood cells and its expression confirmed by Northern blot analysis. NCBI's taxonomy places the organism in Eukaryota, Metazoa, Chordata, Mammalia, Artiodactyla, Camelidae. The record is from Rfam.